This 253-nucleotide ribosomal RNA is filed under the name uncultured prokaryote. RNAcentral's name for it is "partial 16S ribosomal RNA". It matches the Rfam family "Bacterial small subunit ribosomal RNA", at positions 525 to 777 of the family's 1533-position model. The record is from RNAcentral.
ACAGAGGUCCCGAGCGUUGUUCGGAUUCAUUGGGCGUAAAGGGUGCGUAGGCGGCGGGGCAAGUCUGAUGUGAAAUCCCGGGGCUCAACCCCGGAACUGCAUUGGAUACUGCCUUGCUAGAGUACUGGAGAGGGAACUGGAAUUUACGGUGUAGCAGUGAAAUGCGUAGAGAUCGUAAGGAAGGCCAGUGGCGAAGGCGAGUUCCUGGACAGUUACUGACGCUGAGGCACGAAGGCCAGGGGAGCAAACGGGA